UACGGAGGGUGCAAGCGUUAAUCGGAAUUACUGGGCGUAAAGCGUGCGCAGGCGGUUUGUUAAGUCCGCUGUGAAAUCCCCGAGCUCAACUUGGGAAUUGCAGUGGAUACUGGCAAGCUGGAGUAUGGUAGAGGAAGGUGGAAUUCCCGGUGUAGCAGUGAAAUGCGUAGAGAUCGGGAGGAACACCAGUGGCGAAGGCGGCCUUCUGGACCAAUACUGACGCUCAUGCACGAAAGCGUGGGGAGCGAACAGG
This 253-nucleotide ribosomal RNA is filed under the name uncultured bacterium. Its description in RNAcentral is "partial 16S ribosomal RNA". It matches the Rfam family "Bacterial small subunit ribosomal RNA", at positions 524 to 776 of the family's 1533-position model. The record is from RNAcentral.